Bradysia coprophila is the source of this 69-nucleotide long non-coding RNA. The record is from RefSeq and is a predicted model, not a curated record. Lineage: Eukaryota; Metazoa; Arthropoda; Insecta; Diptera; Sciaridae.
GGUUUGAGGUAAUGGCUCUGUGGAUGCUCUCGUUCGUUUCCGGCUUGUCAAACAUCGUUUGACAGUACG